Molecule: ribosomal RNA, 223 nt
Filed under: Anasa bellator
Lineage: Eukaryota; Metazoa; Arthropoda; Insecta; Hemiptera; Coreidae
Description: partial large subunit ribosomal RNA
Rfam family: Eukaryotic large subunit ribosomal RNA
Source: RNAcentral
UCCCUCAGGAUAGCUGGCUCUCGGGAAGAGACGAGUCUCAUCCGGUAGAGCGAAUGAUUAGAGGUGAUGGGGUCGAAACGACUUCAACCUAUUCUCAAACUCCCAAUAGAUGAGAGCCCCGGCUUGCUUGAAAGUGAAGCCGCGGGACUCGGAUCAGAGGUGCCAAGUGGGCCAAUUUUGGUAAGCAGAACUGGCGCUGUGGGAUGAACCAAACGUAGAGUUA